RNAcentral lists this small RNA (36 nucleotides) under Thalassiosira rotula. RNAcentral's name for it is "partial Mitochondrion-encoded tmRNA". The record is from RNAcentral. Lineage: Eukaryota; Bacillariophyta; Thalassiosirophyceae; Thalassiosirales; Thalassiosiraceae.
GUCAAUAGUGAAUGCCAUUUUAAUGAUCAAACUUGG